RNAcentral lists this ribosomal RNA (497 nucleotides) under uncultured bacterium. RNAcentral's name for it is "partial 16S ribosomal RNA". It matches the Rfam family "Bacterial small subunit ribosomal RNA", at positions 28 to 507 of the family's 1533-position model. The record is from RNAcentral.
GAUGAACGCUGGCGGCGUGCCUAAUACAUGCAAGUCGAGCGAACAGACGAGGAGCUUGCUCCUCUGACGUUAGCGGCGGACGGGUGAGUAACACGUGGAUAACCUACCUAUAAGACUGGGAUAACUUCGGGAAACCGGAGCUAAUACCGGAUAAUAUAUUGAACCGCAUGGUUCAAUAGUGAAAGACGGUUUUGCUGUCACUUAUAGAUGGAUCCGCGCCGCAUUAGCUAGUUGGUAAGGUAACGGCUUACCAAGGCAACGAUGCGUAGCCGACCUGAGAGGAUGAUCAGCCACACUGGAACUGAGACACGGUCCAGACUCCUACGGGAGGCAGCAGUAGGGAAUCUUCCGCAAUGGGCGAAAGCCUGACGCAGCAACGCCGCGUGAGUGAUGAAGGUCUUCGGAUCGUAAAGCUCUGUUAUUAGGGAAGAACAAAUGUGUAAGUAACUAUGCACGUCUUGACGGUACCUAAUCAGAAAGCCACGGCUAACUACGUG